Molecule: ribosomal RNA, 305 nt
Filed under: uncultured bacterium
Lineage: Bacteria
Description: bacterial SSU rRNA
Rfam family: Bacterial small subunit ribosomal RNA
Source: RNAcentral
UCCUACGGGGGGCAGCAGUGAGGAAUAUUGGUCAAUGGUCGGGAGACUGAACCAGCCAAGCCGCGUGAGGGAUGAAGGUACAGAGUAUCGUAAACCUCUUUUGUCAGGGAACAAAGGCGGGGACGUGUCCCCGGAUGAGUGUACCUGAAGAAAAAGCAUCGGCUAACUCCGUGCCAGCAGCCGCGGUAAUACGGAGGAUGCGAGCGUUAUCCGGAUUUAUUGGGUUUAAAGGGUGCGCAGGCGGUCUGUUAAGUCAGCGGUCAAAGCCCGGGGCUCAACCCCGGCCCGCCGUUGAACCUGGCAGG